UACGGCCUGCAGCAGUGGGGAAUAUUGGGCAAUGGGCGCAAGCCUGACCCAGCAACGCCGCGUGAAGGAAGAAGGCUUUCGGGUUGUAAACUUCUUUUAAGAGGGAAGAGCAGAAGACUGUACCUCUAGAAUAAGCCACGGCUAACUAUGUGCCAGCAGCCGCGGUAAU
Molecule: ribosomal RNA, 169 nt
Filed under: uncultured rumen bacterium
Lineage: Bacteria
Description: partial 16S ribosomal RNA
Rfam family: Bacterial small subunit ribosomal RNA
Source: RNAcentral